GUCUACAGCCAUCGCACCCUGAAUGUUCCCCAUCUUGUCUGAUCUUGGAAGCUAAGCAGGGUUGGAUCUGUUUAGCACUUGGACGGGAGAAAGUAAGAGAGGUCUCAAAUGAUUUAGUGA
This 120-nucleotide ribosomal RNA is filed under the name Jaculus jaculus (lesser Egyptian jerboa). The record is from RNAcentral. Lineage: Eukaryota; Metazoa; Chordata; Mammalia; Rodentia; Dipodidae.